AGUGAACGCUGGCGGUAGGCCUAACACAUGCAAGUCGAACGGCAGCACAGUAAGAGCUUGCUCUUACGGGUGGCGAGUGGCGGACGGGUGAGGAAUACAUCGGAAUCUACUUUUUCGUGGGGGAUAACGUAGGGAAACUUACGCUAAUACCGCAUACGACCUACGGGUGAAAGCAGGGGAUCUUCGGACCUUGCGCGAUUGAAUGAGCCGAUGUCGGAUUAGCUAGUUGGCGGGGUAAAGGCCCACCAAGGCGACGAUCCGUAGCUGGUCUGAGAGGAUGAUCAGCCACACUGGAACUGAGACACGGUCCCGACUCCUACGGGAGGCAGCAGUGGGGAAUAUUGGACAAUGGGCGCAAGCCUGAUCCAGCCAUACCGCGUGGGUGAAGAAGGCCUUCGGGUUGUAAAGCCCUUUUGUUGGGAAAGAAAAGCAGCAGGCUAAUACCCCGCUGUUCUGACGGUACCCAAAGAAUAAGCACCGGCUAACUUCGUG
Molecule: ribosomal RNA, 492 nt
Filed under: uncultured bacterium
Lineage: Bacteria
Description: partial 16S ribosomal RNA
Rfam family: Bacterial small subunit ribosomal RNA
Source: RNAcentral